This 445-nucleotide ribosomal RNA is filed under the name uncultured bacterium. RNAcentral's name for it is "bacterial SSU rRNA". It matches the Rfam family "Bacterial small subunit ribosomal RNA", at positions 354 to 796 of the family's 1533-position model. The record is from RNAcentral.
GUAAGGAAUAUUGGUCAAUGGACGAAAGUCUGAACCAGCCAUGCCGCGUGAAGGAUGAAGGCCCUCUGGGUUGUAAACUUCUUUUAUCUGGGACGAAAAAAGGGUAUUCUUACUCACUUGACGGUACCAGAGGAAUAAGCACCGGCUAACUCCGUGCCAGCAGCCGCGGUAAUACGGAGGGUGCAAGCGUUAUCCGGAUUCACUGGGUUUAAAGGGUGCGUAGGUGGGUAUUUAAGUCAGUGGUGAAAUCUCCGAGCUUAACUCGGAAACUGCCAUUGAUACUAUUUACCUUGAAUGCCCUGGAGGUAAGCGGAAUAUGUCAUGUAGCGGUGAAAUGCUUAGAUAUGACAUAGAACACCAAUUGCGAAGGCAGCUUACUACGGGGUGAUUGACACUGAGGCACGAAAGCGUGGGGAGCAAACAGGAUUAGAAACCCCUGUAGUCC